CCUAAAAAUUCUCCACGCUGAAGCUGCUUCGUCCUGAUCUCCCCUCUCCUCGCGACAGCGCCGACUCUUCCCCCUCUUCUGCCUCGAUCGACGCCGAUGGUCAUCUCAUCACCGGCGCCAACCACCCGAGCUUUGAUCCGGCCGUUGCUCUCUCCUUUCUCUCUCGCGCGGACGACCCGACGCCGACGGAGAGGCUUUUUCCAUCGCGAUCUCGCCUUCACACGUCGUCGGAGAGGAAGUGGCAUUAGAUCUCGACGGUACCUAUUAUCUCCGGCUGUGCGAUUUCAUCUUCAACGGUUUCUUGCUCACGAUCGGCCACUGCUUCACGGCUAGGGCACGGUGAGGGAGGUGAGAUUCGAGCCCUAAUUGCCUCUUGUGGGUAUCCAGCGCCUCCUCAUCGUCGAAGCUUGGAUCAAGGAAAUCCACUUCACUGAAUUCCGGUUCCUCUUUCUCGUUGGUGUUGAUUGGAUGCUGAUCCUAGUGUGGACGGUCUGUCAAUGUAGGAAUUGGAGUAAGCUUUGGUCAGUUUAGUGAAUCCACAAUUUUGGUGAUCCAAUCUCGGCAGUGAACCUCUGAUCGUGUUCCACCUACAGUUAUCAGAGAUUUGGGUGAUUGGAGGUGUUUGAAUUGAAGGGGGACAUCCAUUUCUACAUAGCAGUUGCUGGUUCUUUUAUUGAGGGAUUUCACAUUCGGUUUGGUUGUCAGCAGGAGCUUUUGGAGGCUGUGGGCAGUGGUUAGUAGAGACUGUGAGCUUUUGAUCUGUUGCUGUCUCUUAAGGACUUGGAUUCGAGAUGUGCGUCUCGACGUGGGAUUAGUUUGUCACGAUCGA
Long non-coding RNA from Zingiber officinale, 829 nucleotides. RefSeq lists it as uncharacterized. The transcript is spliced from 5 exons. The record is from RefSeq and is a predicted model, not a curated record. NCBI's taxonomy places the organism in Eukaryota, Viridiplantae, Streptophyta, Magnoliopsida, Zingiberales, Zingiberaceae.